RNAcentral lists this ribosomal RNA (1419 nucleotides) under metagenome. RNAcentral's name for it is "bacterial SSU rRNA". It matches the Rfam family "Bacterial small subunit ribosomal RNA". The record is from RNAcentral.
GAGUUUGAUCAUGGCUCAGAUUGAACGCUGGCGGCAGGCCUAACACAUGCAAGUCGAACGGUAACAGGAAACAGCUUGCUGUUUCGCUGACGAGUGGCGGACGGGUGAGUAAUGUCUGGGAAACUGCCUGAUGGAGGGGGAUAACUACUGGAAACGGUAGCUAAUACCGCAUAACGUCGCAAGACCAAAGAGGGGGACCCUCGGGCCUCUUGCCAUCGGAUGUGCCCAGAUGGGAUUAGCUUGUUGGUGGGGUAACGGCUCACCAAGGCGACGAUCCCUAGCUGGUCUGAGAGGAUGACCAGCCACACUGGAACUGAGACACGGUCCAGACUCCUACGGGAGGCAGCAGUGGGGAAUAUUGCACAAUGGGCGCAAGCCUGAUGCAGCCAUGCCGCGUGUAUGAAGAAGGCCUUCGGGUUGUAAAGUACUUUCAGCGGGGAGGAAGGGAGUAAAGUUAAUACCUUUGCUCAUUGACGUUACCCGCAGAAGAAGCACCGGCUAACUCCGUGCCAGCAGCCGCGGUAAUACGGAGGGUGCAAGCGUUAAUCGGAAUUACUGGGCGUAAAGCGCACGCAGGCGGUUUGUUAAGUCAGAUGUGAAAUCCCCGGGCUCAACCUGGGAACUGCAUCUGAUACUGGCAAGCUUGAGUCUCGUAGAGGGGGGUAGAAUUCCAGGUGUAGCGGUGAAAUGCGUAGAGAUCUGGAGGAAUACCGGUGGCGAAGGCGGCCCCCUGGACGAAGACUGACGCUCAGGUGCGAAAGCGUGGGGAGCAAACAGGAUUAGAUACCCUGGUAGUCCACGCCGUAAACGAUGUCGACUUGGAGGUUGUGCCCUUGAGGCGUGGCUUCCGGAGCUAACGCGUUAAGUCGACCGCCUGGGGAGUACGGCCGCAAGGUUAAAACUCAAAUGAAUUGACGGGGGCCCGCACAAGCGGUGGAGCAUGUGGUUUAAUUCGAUGCAACGCGAAGAACCUUACCUGGUCUUGACAUCCACGGAAGUUUUCAGAGAUGAGAAUGUGCCUUCGGGAACCGUGAGACAGGUGCUGCAUGGCUGUCGUCAGCUCGUGUUGUGAAAUGUUGGGUUAAGUCCCGCAACGAGCGCAACCCUUAUCCUUUGUUGCCAGCGGUCCGGCCGGGAACUCAAAGGAGACUGCCAGUGAUAAACUGGAGGAAGGUGGGGAUGACGUCAAGUCAUCAUGGCCCUUACGACCAGGGCUACACACGUGCUACAAUGGCGCAUACAAAGAGAAGCGACCUCGCGAGAGCAAGCGGACCUCAUAAAGUGCGUCGUAGUCCGGAUUGGAGUCUGCAACUCGACUCCAUGAAGUCGGAAUCGCUAGUAAUCGUGGAUCAGAAUGCCACGGUGAAUACGUUCCCGGGCCUUGUACACACCGCCCGUCACACCAUGGGAGUGGGUUGC